Molecule: long non-coding RNA, 14145 nt
Organism: Anas platyrhynchos (mallard)
Lineage: Eukaryota; Metazoa; Chordata; Aves; Anseriformes; Anatidae
Source: RefSeq, a predicted model, not a curated record
GAAAUGUGUUACUACAGUGUGCAACUCAGCUCAGAAAAAAAAAAAGGUGGGAAUGGCUUCUUCAUUUCUCAACCCUUUUAAAUGGAAAGGUUUGCUCAUUGUAAAAGCCACAUUAGACAGUGUUGACAUGAUAUUUUUCUUUUGCCAUGAAACUGAAGUUUUGAAUGAUUAUUUUUUAUUUUCCCACUUCUUGCGUGUGUUUGUGUGGGGGGAGGAAUGAAUGUAUGAUUUAGAAGAUUUUUGGUUCUCUUAGUGCCCUGCUUUGUUGUGAGUCAGCAGUAGUCCACAGUGCACAGCUGGAAGAAUGCUGCAUUAUGGUAUGGCUCAAUGGAUGCAGCUGCUAGGUUCUGUAGAGGUAUCUUCAUUCUCCCAGUGAUGGCAGGUUGAGGAUAAAAUAUUCAAGACUAAUUCUUUAAUGAGUGUGAUUGCCUCCUGAAUAAUGUCUGUUUUGUGUGAAGAGUUUUGAGGUUUUUGUUUGUCUGCUUUUUCCACCUGUACAGUUACUUAAAUAUUAUCACGAUAUUAUCUACUGACUAUGAAGUCACUGCACUUGCGUGGUUGGCAUGUGGUUUUUGUUCCUUGAGUUUAUGGCAGUUUUAUUGUCCACUUUCUUGAACAUUAGUUUUAACACUUAGCUGCAAAUAUUUAUGGGAAAGAUAACAGUGAUUUCACCUCCUGUCUGAAGCGUGAAUUAUACUUCAGGGUUUCUUUCUCAAUGUGUGCUAUAUUUAAGCAUGCUUCUCUUUUUGUCUUGCAUCCUUCGGAUCUGUGCAGGCUGCUGACAAAAAUUGAACAAUCACAAGAUCUCUUGUAAAAGGCAGCCAUUUCUUGUCAGUUCUGUUGUUUCACUCCCCCAGCUCCAAUCCUUCAGCUGUUAAACAGCGCUAAGUUGGAGAUAGCUCAAUCGCCCUCAUAUUGUUUGUAAAGUUUCCUUCUCACCUUAGAGCAAGACUGUGGCGCAUUUCAUUUUCAUGCUGCGAGAUCUGGCAGUGCAUCUUGCUCCUCAGCAAGGAGCUUGGGUGACCAGAAGCAGCAGGGGGCAGAGUGUCCUGCUUCCAGCCUGCAGAGGACAAAGCCAGCAGAGAACAAUGGAGCUAACAUUAAAUUCUGCGUGAGGCAAAGAGUGGCCAGCUGUAGCCGUGUGCUGAGGGUGGUAUGUAGGGUGUGUGUUUAGGGAACUGAAGAAGAGACAGCGUGUUUCUGAGUCAGUCACUCCUAGAUGGCUGCUGUGCUUGUGACUGGAACAAGCUUGCUGUUUAGCCCAUGGUAUUGAGAAGAUACAUGAGACAUGCUUCACUGUAUAUCUGUUCUGUGUUUCAUCUCUGGGCACACUACAUGUUUGCAGGUGCUGCUUUUUACAUGUUAAAAAACUUAACACCUUCCUCUAGUGUUUUAACAAAGUUUACUUCCAAGGUGUCAGGGACUUCUUGGAAGAAGUAGCUCCUUAGACUGACCUGAUUCCAUCUUGAGAGCAUGAACAUUUCAAGCAGCAGAAGUAAAACUACUCAGGGUUUCGGAUGCCAUGUGUAAAUAGUUCUGUCUCCUAUCUUUCUCGUGACAUCUUCUUCAGCAUAGGCUGUAUCUUCUUCUUUUUUUUUAUCCUUUUCUUUUUCUGUGCUAUGCAAUAUCACUACAUGAAGUAUGUAGGAAGGAGAAAUACUGGGUAUGCAGGCAGAAAGCAUGCUUAAAAUAUGGAAGCUAUCCUUCCUCACUACGGUCUUCUGUGACAUUCCUGGGAGAAAUGUCAGCCUGACAGUUCUGAGGACUAGCAAAAAGGUUCGUCUCUAACAGUGGCCUUAAAGUUUCCUGACUCAGUUUGAAGAGAAUCUGCUCAGGAUUUAUUUAUUUAUUUGCUAAGUGCUUGCUGAGAAGCCAGUUGCAAAGCCUCUUUUCCAAGGCUUGUUGGGGUGAUCUUCCUGCCUUAAGAUGACUGCUUCUUCUUCGCUUUGGAGGUGAUGCUUAAACCUUCGGGGUGCUUUCUACUAAUACUAAGAUUUCUACCUUUAAGGUGGCUUUAACCCUAUUUUUAUUCAUUUAUACUCUGCAGGUACAUUGCAUCUAUCCAGUGAUAAUCUUUCCUCAGUGUAUUUCAUAUUUCCCUGUGUCGCUGUGACUGUUGUACUCAAGCGUUCAGAGUAGCGUUUCUGAGUAUUUCCUCUGGUUGAGGUAGGGUAUUACCCUUGUUUUGAUAAUGUUGAACGUUUAUUUCUUUAUUCAUUUUGACCAAGGAAUGCUUAGUUUCAGAGUUGUAGCAUCCACAACAAAAGCAGGAAACCUCAAAUUGCAGGAGGGGUUAAAUUACUUUAUUAUUUACCAGAAACUCUAAGACCUGUAACAGGUGCACAUUGAAUGAGAUAAUUAGGCAUGCUUUAAAGUCAGCUCCAACCAAGCUAUUAUUUCAGCAUUUCUCUCUCAGAAACCACAGGAAGAGAAUUAUUGGUCUCAUGAUGAUAGUAAAUGCCCUCAGAGCUCUACUCAGACUAACCAGUGUUGUUUCCCUUUGCAACUCCUCUUCCAUGGGAAAGUAAGAAAUAAUUACUGUGCGAGUACACUGAGCUCCAAACAGCAGGUGUGCCGUGGUGCAGUCUUUACCAGGGGGUUUCAUCUGCAAGUAAUACGCUUUGAGCUGGUACAUGGGGAGGAUGGGACAGUUUAGAAAAACCUUUAAGAGAUCAAUUUUUAAAAUUUCAUAGCUGGGUGAGCUUGCAGUUCACAGUGGGUUUGGAGCUACAAAUAAUGGGAGCAGAUCCACUGCUUCCUCGCCUCAGUGGCAUUACAAUGACUUACACAAGCUUGAGGACUUGACUCUUAAAAAGCUUUUUUAAGGACAUUUAGUUUGAAGUUAGAAUGUGUAGUCCAUGGGAAAUGCUGAUGUUUUUCCUUCCUGAAUUUAUGCAAACAGUGGAAACACCACCAUUUCCUUCAGAACAAGAGUUUUAGAAAAACAAAGCUGUGAAGGUGUGGUUUUGUUCUGAACCAGUUCUAGAUUAAAACUUUUUCUGAACACUCCGUUUUUGUGAAAAUGUAAAAUUUGCUGUCCAAAACGCAUUCUGUAUGUGGGAAAACCCUGACCAGCUCGGCCUCCAGGUCCUGCAACUGAGGAUGGAGGAACAGACAGACAGCAGAGCGGAAGAGGGUGAAGAAAAAGCAGUGCUACCUCCCCAGCUGUGAGCAGGCUCCCACGUGGAGAGCUGCUGGACGGGACCGCAGCCCCGGCAGAACGGGGUCAGUAGGUGGAGAGGCUGCUGGCUGCCAGGGGGAGGCUUUAGCGAGGCCAGCUGCAAGAAGCUGUGGAAGGAGCAACAUGGAGCGAAGCCUGCCAAGUCGGGGAAGUGGGAAGUGGCCACAGGGAGCGAGGGACAGAAAGGAACAGCUCCCGGUUGCUUAGCACGCGGUCAUUAAAACUAGAUGAAAGAUUUCCUGGGUCUUCUGCCCUGAGGGGAGAGAGAGAGGGGGUGGAAAGAGGUAAUAUAAUAUUGCUUGAGGAGGAGAAAUGGGAAAGGAUUAAUUAAUCCCAGACUUGAGGUCUCAAAAAUACGGUCUCCUUUUAUGAGAUUCCAACUGUAUUAAUUUUGCCCUCCUCUGACACUUAGACCACGCCGUCUUUUAGCCCAGAUUAAUUUGUUUCAUCCCAAAAUUAGCAACGGAGUGGAAACAUCUUCUGACGUAUGAUGGCAGUGAAGAAUGAGAGUCCGUCUGUUUUCUCUGCUGGUGCUUUUGACUUGGAAUUCGGAGAACAGUGGCAGGAGCUGGAGCCAGGAACCAGCCCACUCCUCCUGAAGGCAGUCAUGCCUGCAUUUGUGCUGCCUGAGUCCAAAGGAGCAUUUGGUUCAUUCCGUGUAUUAGGAGGUGAACCCUGAUAUACCUCAGCUCCAUAGUGUGAAAAUUCUCAAAUUUUCAGUCUGAAACACCUAACAGCCACUUCUGUGAAGCCUUUGGGUGUCAGAGUUUUGCUACCAAUCCCGCAAUUUGAGAUCCACCUCUGCUGAUCUGCAGGAGGGAGGAGACAGGAGGGUUUGGCUUCAGGCUCAGCAAGCCUCCAGCUCCCCUCUGCUGUGGGAAACCCUCGGAGGAAACCCAGCCAUGGCCAUGAGUCAAGAGUCUUGCACUGGUUCAUCGCUUUCAGUCCGGCAGCAUAGAUGAGGUUAAAAUAAUCCCUGUUCUAACAGUUCACCCAUCUCAUUUUUCACCACUCUGUCCUUUGGGAAGUGUAACGAGCUGAAGGAGCCGUAUUUUGAGGUUUAAUGUUGUGACAGACAAGAAACUGGUUGAGAAAGGAAAGGAUGAACAAAACGUUUAGAUGGUAGGAACGUGGGAUUUGACAACAGCAUACAGUAAAAAACAACUAUUUCCAAAGUCUAAAUGCUGAUCUUAUAUAUUUGAGGUAAACUGAGAAGGUUUCCAUGCUUCCUAGGUUUUUUCUGACACUGAAAGUGGACCAGCUGGUAAUUCAGUGGGAACUGGCUUAGUGCCGUGAAAGUUGCUGGUCUACAUCAACUGCUACGUACCCCCAUAUGAGGAUAAAGCAGAGCAUAUGUAUUUUCCUGUUCUAUAUUGAAUUAGGAUUUCUAAAUCACAUUUCUCUAGAUCGCUUUUCUUUUUUGAAAACUGAAAGAAGUUCAGCAGUUCUCUCACUUCGUUGUAUUAGGCCUUACUUGGUUUAAGGCAAAGACAAUUUUUUUUUCUGUCUGUGUGAGUCCCUUCUGACACUGAGAACAUUGCACUGUCUCCACAAAGAAUUGAUGCUCUUUAUUGGAUGUAAAACUAAAGGGUGCACUAAAACCAAUGAUAAUAAUAUAGUAUCUGCAGACAAACAGGUUUUCUGACACAAAACAACAAAAUGAGCUAUUGCCAUAAGUAUCAAUUAAUGCUUUAAAAUGCUUUAAUUGCACAGUAUCUAUUUCAGAAUAUUGAAAUGCAGAGUUAAUUUGAGCUAAAAGAAGAUAUGAUUCACAGUCAAGAUGUAAGCUGUGACUUGACAAGGGGUUUAAUAGCUGCCUCAGGCAGAUCAGAAAGUGUGAUAAUGAGAAUCCAGCAGAAAAACAUCACGGAGCAGAGCUGCAGAGUUUGCCAGGGUAAGCGGUGUCAGUGGCUGGAUAGUAAUGCUCCUUCUACGAGGUAAAGAGACAGAAGUGGUCACUCUGGGUAACAGUGACUGCUCUAAGCUUUCAAUCUAGUUACAGAAUACUCCUUUCUGGAAGGAAAUACAUCCUUUCAUGUGUAGCCAUAUUCAUAUAUGCAGGCAUACUCACACAUAUAUAAAUAUAGAAUCUAUUUUUUCAGAGUACAGUUUAGUGAAACGCAUUUCAGUGUGGCAUGGAAGUAGGUUGAUUGCCUUCACCAAUAGAUUGUGCUUCGUUGUCCCCUGCCAAGUCCUUUCUGGGAAGCUGUAAAAAGAAAAUUAUUUGCUGGCUUAGGGUUGGACUUGUCUCUAUACCCUUCAUUGCUACUGUACUCUUCUCUGCGGGGGAUCAUUUUACAUUUUCUUAAUUGCAGAGACAGCUCGUGGUGUUGGCAGUGGUUGUACCAAGAAGUGGAUUUUAAUGAAGUGCAGUUCUCUUAGUCCACUGGAGCUUCAGCAAUCGCAAGCUGAAUGAUAGCAUCCUGUCAGGCUAAUGCAGACAACAUUGUCACCACGAGGAAAGAUUUACUCAAGACCCAUGCAUUUUAUAGCAAGAUUAUCCUGUAAAAAUGACACGUCAUGUUGCUUUAUGUGUACUUGCAUUUUUCAGUCUGAGAAGCUUUUUACGUGGAAGUACAAUGAAAGGGAAGUUACUGCCUGGACUCCUAGGUGAGAUUCCUUCCACGUAGCUGGGUGUCCAUGGUGCAGAUGUUUGCAGCUGCGGUGGACACCAAGGCUCAUUUCGAAUCAGGAGAGAGAAGCGGGCGCACAGAGGGCUCAUUCAUUUAACCUAUGGCAGACAUCGGGUUAAACGUUGAGGUGAAUCACACUCCAGCCACUGUGCUGUAGCUGCUCUGCAAACAGCGUUGCCACAUGUACACUGGCAGAGGCCUCCUGCACCACACGGCCCAUAGGCUGCCCCACCAGGAGCAGGCAGGUCAUAUCUCUGCUGCCUAACUCCUUUACCUUGAGAAACUCUCCAAAACAGGUCACUCUCCACCACUUCUGAACCCCGUGUGGAACCAAUGGAGGAAAGCAUUGUAGACGAUCUCUCAAAGUCGGAAAUCGAUCUCAUAUUUUUGAAGUUUUUGCCUACCAGAAGGUUCAAAGUGCUGCGUCUCUUAGCAGCUCCCUGAGGGAUGAUGCAUAUGGGACUAAUUUCUGUUUGUGCCUGAUCCCGCACCCUCUCCAAUGGCUUUUCAACCCAGUUGCGAAUUUCAGCCACAUUAAAAAGAGGCAGGUAACAUCUAAAAGACAUAUAUAUGAAUAUAUUUAAAUUGGUUUUUGGAUAGAAAAGAAAGUAGCAACUGAGUUUUAGCAUAAAAGAAAGGUGGCAGCAGCAGCCGAGCAGUUACCUGCUGUGUUUGACUCGCCUGGGGUGCACCCAUGGCUGCCCUGCCAGCACCAACAGGCUCUGAACCAGCCACUGCCCCACCGGCCUCUCUGGCUGGUACUUAGGGGAUGUUAAAGAAAGCCAGGAUUUCAGGGACGUGAGAGCAGGAACUGGGGCCGCUGAGGCAGGAUCUGUAGGGAAUACCUGGGGCUGUGGUGAAACGGGUGGGUUACAAUCCGUAGGAGUCCAGGCUAAGAGUGACUGGUAAUCAUAAUGUAAAUGCUGUGAACUUCUAAAAGUCAAAGGAGGACCAGGAGGAUUUGAGAGGGUAAGAAGGGUGCCGUGUUCCCAAACUGGAGCAAACAAUUGUCUUGCCUUCACCUGCAGCAUCCUUUUCUGCAGUCCCCAGUCUCCUGCUGUGAAAUCCUCUUAGCAUCCCCCCGAAACACUUACAAGUCUAAAGAAAACUGCACUCUGUCUCUGGCUCUGUUUAGGUAGCAGGAAAGAGGUCACCUCUGCUGCCUGCUAUUGUCCAAAUGCUAUACUUCCUUAGUCUGCUUAAACAACUUAAUGAGAGAAAAAGGUGUAGCGAGGCUAUUCCUCCAAGCAGUUUAUCACAGGAGCUCUUAAAAGGUCAGCAGUGGAAAGGCUGUGAAAUGUGCAAUGCCUGUAGGAAAUGGAAAAGCCUUUUCUGUUGAGGAAACAGUUUUCUGCCCUAAGCACAAUUCGUAGCCUGUACAAGGCUUGCUGCUCAAGGCCUGGAGCACCCAACAGCAGUCAUCAAGUGGUGUUUGGAACAGGGAGAUUCAUUCUGGAAAGCAGCCCCUCGUGUUGCUUUUCAGUUUGUGUCUUAAAUUGAAGAAAAUCUAAAUUUUAAUUGUAUGUGCUGCAGUGUUGUGGGGAUUGAUCAAGGAGAACUCGGGGCUGGAGCACAUACCUGAGCCACAUCUCUGUUUUACCUGUAUUAAUCUUCCCUUCACCACAAGGGCUUCGGGUCAUAUGAGCUUUUUGAUUAUACAUUUUCUUUUUGAUCUGUUUCAUUAUUUUUUUAUUGUGUUUUAAAGAAAUUUUAAUGCUUUUAACUGCUUUUAACAGCAGUUGUUCCAUGCUGAGGUGGUGUCUGUGUCAAACAGCAGACGGCAGUCCCAGUGCCCCUGGCAGUGCUGGUCUUACUCCUCUCCCCAAGCCUCCUGGCAGUUUCAACACUGCUUUCCAGCAAGGCCUUGGACUGUGCCUUACACGCUUCUUAAAAGCACCUGAAAUUAUCAAAAUCACGUGUGAGCGUAGUACUUACCAUCACCAUAUGUGGAGGCCAGUAGAUAAGAUGCAAUUUGGUGUCUUGCAUUGUCACAGUGCUACUUCUAAGCAGUGCGAAUAAUAAUCCAGAUGCAGUAUGUAUUUAUUUAGCACAAAUAAGUUCAUUUCACGUUAUAGUGACUGCUGUGAAUAAAACACGAGACUCUUCUUUAUGUUGUUGAUGGUAACAGUACCUUUUGUUAUCUUAUUUCUGCCCUUUUGUCUGCUUGCUCUGGAUUAUACUUCGUUUGCCAUUUCUAGACUUCUGUUUUGUCCAUUGUUCUUUUUAUCUGUGUGUUUGCUUUCUGUCUUAUCGGACUCUUUUACUUUUUAAUGAGAAUGGGUAUUUGACCUUUUUUCCCCUUUACAACAGACGCAGUAGUCCAUUGCGUAGAAAGGAGGUUUUGAGACAUUAUUGCCCUUGUGCAUGAAGCCUUUGAAUGCCCACCACAGCAGCCCACAGAGCAACCAGCAGUACCAGGUUUUCUCUUUGAGAUCCCAGGUUAGCUCAAAAGGCAACGUCAAGUUGAUACAAACCUCUACUUAAUAGGGGCCCCAGUACUCUGGAUAAUAUUCUGAUGGAAUGAUUCCCUUUCAAAACACUCUUUUUCACUAUGUAGACUGAAUGAUUCACUGUUUCUUUACAGGUUGUUAUAGGUAGCUGAUCUAAAAGCUCUUACAAAAUGUAUUUCCCUACAGAUGUAACUAUUCUUCUCAACGUUUGGAUGCUGGCCUGCAAAAAUCCUAAAAUUCCUUAUUUUUUCCUUGUCUCUCAGUGACUUUGGGUUUAUCCCUCCAUGCUGUAAUACCAUCUGCUCUUCCUUCUAACUCUUGCAAUUAGAUCUGGAUCUGUUUUGCUAACGCUGAAUAAUCCCAGCUUUUUCUCAAGUUACAUCAGGACUGUUGAUUAUUUUUCCCCCCGAUAUUGAUAUCUGAGCCCCUUUUACAAUUUGUUCUGACCCAGUGAUUAUAACAGUAUAAAAUGUAUUUUGAGUGAAGACAAGUUCCAGAUCUGCCAUACUUGGCCCAGAAGUUUUUUUUUUUCCCUCAGUUUGGUUCCUGUUGGAGCUGAUAUCUUUGAUAAGAACUCUUUUUUUCUCCUAGAUGUGUUGUACCCCUUCAGUAUCUUACUGCUGACUGAUCGUUGGCUCAGACGUCAACACUUGAACACUUACCUGGGUAAACCUGAACAGAUGAAAACCUAGUGCCUCUCCCCUGACAAUAUUUUUUAAAAUACCUACCCCUAGGGGCCAUCUUUCAAGGGACUGUAAUGGUCCCUUGAGUUUGUUCCACUUGUUUGAAACAUUCCUGGAAAAUUUCACCUUUCUUGCAGUUUUUAACCGUCUUCAUGAAACAUUUUAUUCGCUACUCCUUUCUUUUCCUAAAACAUCCUAAUUUUGAAUCAAAUUUUGUUUAUGCUCCCACUCCUUGCAUCAAGGAGUAUUCCUUGGUCUGGGAGCUUUUGGAGAAUUCUGAGUUACAGCUUCUGAGUGCAGUGAGUCAUUAUUACAACAAAAUGUAAAAAUUAAGACACCGUGAAGAAAUAGCACAUGAGGGAGGGAAAAGAAUCCAAGCAGCCCCCUCUCAGCCUGCCUGCACAUCACCUAACUAACAAUAUGGCUCCAAGUUGGCACGUUUUAGUCUCUUUCAUGGCCCAUUGUCCUAAUUUGUGUGACACCAAUCUAUAAUCAAGUGAACUCUAGGACAAAUGUUUCCCUUGAUCUAGUAAGUCAGAAAUGUAGUUAAGAAAUAUUCUGGACACUGAAGAAUCAUAAUACAGCUCUCCAUACAAGAAAAAGUGUUGGUCAUUAUUUCAGCUGUUGACAUAAGUAAUACAAUAAUUAUAAAGUAUAAAGCCUUUCUCAGAAGGUGAUAUUCAGCUGUUUGUAAAGAUGUUAGUUGGAAGCAGGAAAAAAAAGCAGUAAGGUUGAGUUAUAAGCUGAUUGUGAAGAGGAUCUGUGCUUCUGGCAAUUGAUGCUUCCUAAUUCCAGUGGGGGAAUAGAUACGUGCAUGCAAGAGCCCCAGGGCUCCCAUCAGCUCAAGAAACAUUGCACUGCUCCCCUAGUAGCCGCUCCCCAAAUGUGCUCUUCUACCUUUGCAGAAUGAACCUGAUGAGUGACUGGUGUGUUGUUGGCAGCAAUAAAUAACUACCGGGAAGGUGCUUAUUGAAAGCCCUGAGACAACAGAGAUGAAAGAGACGAACGAUUAUUUUCCUAGUUAAGAAUCACAGCUAUAUGGAAAGGUGCGUCGUGAUGAGCAGGAGGGAAGGGGACCUACCAGAAGCUCUGUAGGCAUAACUGACAGCAAGAGACAAAGCAAUUUAAUGAUGUGAGUACCAGCCUCUGGAGUGAAAUAAUAUGGAGGACAACAUGGCUAGGAGGGGUGGUUUGCUUUUUUCUUUUUUUCUUUUUUUUUCUUUUCCCAGUAGCUGACAAUAGCAUCAGGAGGAGGUACCAGAGGGUGAAUAGACUGGGGGAGCUGGGAUUAUCAGCAAAUGACAGUAGAUAAGUGACUUGAAAAGGCUCUGGGUCCUGGGUGGCUCUUAGAAUAGUGAAUUAGGACAACAAAAGCAAGAGUGUACUUUGAAAGAAAAUAUAAAUGUACUCUUCCACCUGGCCGCGUCUGAACCCUUUCUCAUCUGAUAGAUCAAUGCACAAAGCAAAGAUCUGUUGCAUCUUUCAUGUGGCUAUGCUGUUCUAUAAUAAAACUUGAACAAACAGUGUCUGUUUACCAGCCUUCCAGAGAAGUCACAUCUUUCAAAUGUGUCCCUUCUCGUGUCCCUAUCUCCACCCUACAGCAGCAGAGGGCUAGAUCUUCCCUUGGCAUUGGUGAAGCUGCACCAGCAUGCAGUGGUGAGUCUCUAGCUUCUCACUUUGGAAGCAAAUUUUGUCAUGGAGAAAAAAAAUAAAAUCUUUAGGUUUUGUGUAUGGGGAACAAAAUUUGGUUUCGUCACGUCAAGAGUUCAGUGAAAGGCAGGCACCAACAACUUUUGGUGGUCUGAAUUUAUGGGGUUUGCCAACAGACCUGAAUUUUGAUCAUCACACUCGAGUAAAUAGCCCACUCUUCCCUUGGAUAAACAGCUUCAUACAAUUGCGUUUUCCUACUUGGUUGGCUGGUUUUUAGAAGUGGAGUUUGUCAAGAGAAAGAAGAAUUUGGUAGGUGCCCUGUAGAGUGCCUAACAAAUAGCUCCCUGAAUCAAGGAUGGCUUCUUGCCUUGUUUUCUGCCACUGGCAAUCUCGGAAGGAGCUUGGGUCAAAGUACUCACUGUCAAAGACUGUGAAUCAAGGAUUUGUGUUCAGACUCCAUCAACAUAUGUUUAAAAACAUUUCCUGUUUAGUCAAGUACUUAUCUUUGUCUUCAUACUGUGUUUUUAGCAUCUCUUUUACUAUAUAUUAUUUUGGGGAGGCAACAGCAGCAGCAAAGACAUAGGCAGUAGUGUGGAGCUCUGACAUCUGACAACAAAACUCCCUUCUCAAAAUCUUGUCCUCGCUCAUGAAAAACAUAAAAACCCUUAACUAAGCUGCCCUAUCACGGGCAGCCCAGCUCUGUGCAGCCCCAGGUUAGAUACGAAAACCCUUUCGGAUAUAUCCCUCUCGUCUGAACAUAAUGUCAUGGAAAAUAAAGUAUGACAGUCAAAUCUGUCGGUAACCACGAGGAGAAUAGUAAGUCUUCCCCCAGCUCCCGACACGUCUGAUGUUCACAGCGGUGGCUGGCAGAGCUGCUUCAUUUGCUCGUUUCCUUUGCUGUGAGCCAACAUUCCCAGUAGCGUCAGGACAAUUUUAGAAGCAAAAUGCACUCAACUGAACUUCGUCUAUGAAGAGAUGAACAGGUGCUUAUAGCUGAGUUUUCAAGUCCAUAUAUUACCUUGAUGGCUUUUUUUUUUUCUGUCUGAAAUGGAGCAAUUUUUGAAUACAGGCAUUUAGCCAAGCCCCGAAUCUCAGGAAGCAGUCUCUCCAGAAUUUGUUCAUUCUGGGAAGAAAUGGAAAAGCAGAGAAGAAGAAGAUACGAGCACGUCUGCAGCACACGGGUAACUGAAAUAGGUGAAAUAAUUGUUUGGCAAUAUCCCGAAUGCCUUCUGGUGCAAUAACGCUCUCCCUCAAGCCUGCUUACUAAAUAGAUUUUAACUUAUCUUUGCUUUACUACACUGAAUGAUUUCAGAUUAUAUCUCAGGAAGAAAUAGGGCUGAGGACAUCCACAGGUGUAAACAAGUGAUAAGAAAAUGUUGUGGGGAAUCAAGAAGAAAGGAGCUGGAUGUUGUGUGGGUCUGUAUGAGGAGGAAUGCGUGGACAGCCUGACAUAUAGUCUGGGGGUUCAGAUUUGGAAGCGUACAGCCCGCAGGCCUGGAGAUGUGUCAGCUGACGUGCUCCAACAGAAUCGGAAGCAGCAGAGAGCCCAUACUGCUGAGCAGAUCAUCAGACGCAUAAAUCAGCGUGAGUCUGGCUGGCGGGUCUGAAUGGACACCCACACUGGCAAGUAGUGCCAGGCAACAGGAGUAGGUCCGUAGAGUGAAACAGUUGGCACUGGGGAUCCAAUGUCCACGCUAUUCAGGGUGGGGAGGGGAGGAGGAGGAGGUUCAGAUUAAAUUAAACACGAGGACAUGCUCCUGGACUGUACCUAAUGUGCUGGACUGUACCGAAUGGAGCACAUUAGGUACAGUCUUGAAGCAUGUCUUCAUGUUUAAUUUAAUCCGAAAGUAAUCCAGCUUGAGCACCCUGAGACCGUACCACAAAGCAAACAAAAACAGGGUUGAUAGGGUGACUUGCUUCAAAAACAUAUGCUCUGAUGUCCUGCUUUCUGCUGGAACAGAGUUAGUUUUCUUCCUAGCAGCUGUAUAAAUCACUGGUAUAUGUGCAGCCUUUUUCAACUUCUCUAAUGAUAUAAAGGGAUACAUGCCAUCUGCGUGCAAAUCUUCCCUGCAGGAAAGUUUGGUAAUAGGUAAAUGAAAAUGAGUACACAUGGAAAAAAAAAAAAAAAAAAAAAAAAAAGCCGUGUUUGUUCUAGAGUUAUCUAUUUAGGAUGCCCAAGAUUUUCUCAUGCAGCUCAACAAUUUGUAAAAUACUGCAGACCCACAGUUCUGUCUGGAAAACUUCCUUUGAUUGCCUGCACACGCAUCUGUGGGCUCUUGCACAGCAGAUCUUUGAUCCCCCUGCUGGGUCCUUGGGUGAUACUGCACAACGAGUAACAUAAACCAGUUGCUAUUUCCUCUGAUCAUUAAUCACUCAGGAUUUCAUCAGUACUUAAUUGAGAUACCUAAGACACCCUUAUAAAGACUAUAAGAUUUCUUGUGCUUGGAGCCCUUCUCCCUUUCUAAGGCACUUACAUUUUCUUUUUCUAGGAAUAGCCUCGGUGAUAAAAUGAGUCACCUAACUCUUUGCCAACAGGCAACACGAUGACUGACAUUUAUACGGCACCUUUCAUCCCAGGAAUGUUUAAACCUAUGCCUGGAAUCCUGCCCUGGCUGCUGGCAGGGCUGUCGGAGUGAUGCAAGGGCCUUCCCACCAGCACCGAGCGGGGGGAGCAGUGUGAGGGUUCAAUGCCCUUUGUUGCUGCUCUGAAAAGUGUCCAUGCCCUUGGCUACCUGAUCUGCCUGACUCACGUAUGCAUUAGAGAGAGGGUUUGUGGGCUCAUAAAGAGGCUAACCAUGCCCUGGGAAGCAGCAAUGGAAGGGACCUUGCGUGUUGUUGGGUCAGGCUCCAACACGGCUGUGUGCCAACAGCUCCAUCCUGUAGUGCCCCAGCUCUCAGGGGUGUUGCAGAGAUCCAGGCAGCUGAGUAAGGAAAGAGCUCAUCUUUCUUUGGAUCCUGACAUGCAUCACGGGCAGACACGCAACGAGCCCCAUGAUGACCACCGGCUCCUGUCUUGCAGGGCUCGGUGCGCUACGUUCACAGCAGCUCUUUCGGGUACCUGCCACUACGUGUUAGUCAUCCUUCACUAGAAGCCAACGUGCCACGGAACUGAAAACUGUAAUUUAGUUCACCGAGUCUGAGAAAGGGACCUCGUUCCAGUUCCUCGUAUCUGGACUCAAUCUGUGGUCUCAAUGGUGUUCCUGGUGAAAAGAUCAAUUCUUCACAAGACUAUUGCACCGUGGGCAGCACUGAAGACUGGGCUGCAGAAGGAGGGAAGGAGUGGUGCAGGGGCUGAACCUGUUCCCGAGGAAAAUGCGGGUAGAGCGGUUUGGGGCAGUAUGGAGAAGGGCUGCUGUGCUGCUUUGCUGCUGCCCACCCUAGCCCUGUCAGCUGCCAGCAGCACUCGUCCAGGUUUUUGUGACCGCACCCAUGAGCUAUCAAUAAAAGCACAUAUUGCCUGCUUGUUAAAUUCCCAGUUUGCUCUUAGCCACAGCCACACUGAGCCUGAGCACAUCUGGGAAAGCCUGAAUAAAUUUUCUCCAGCUGUA